GGGGAUGUGGCGGAAUGGUAGACGCAGCGGACUUAAAAUCCGCCGAGUGAUAAGCUUGUAGGGGUUCGACUCCCCUCAUCCCCA
Molecule: transfer RNA, 84 nt
Filed under: Blidingia minima
Lineage: Eukaryota; Viridiplantae; Chlorophyta; Ulvophyceae; Ulvales; Ulvaceae
Description: tRNA-Leu
Rfam family: tRNA
About the family: Transfer RNA (tRNA) molecules are approximately 80 nucleotides in length. Their secondary structure includes four short double-helical elements and three loops (D, anti-codon, and T loops).
Source: RNAcentral